Molecule: ribosomal RNA, 231 nt
Filed under: uncultured bacterium
Lineage: Bacteria
Description: partial 16S ribosomal RNA
Rfam family: Bacterial small subunit ribosomal RNA
Source: RNAcentral
CGAACGGUGAGUAAUAUAUCGGAACGUAUCCAAUAAUGGGGGAUAACUAAUCGAAAGGUUAGCUAAUACCGCAUACGCCCUGAGGGGGAAAGCUAGGGACCGCAAGGCCUGGCGUUAAUGGAGCGGCCGAUAUCUGAUUAGCUAGUUGGUGAGGUAAAGGCUCACCAAGGCUUCGAUCAGUAGCUGGUCUGAGAGGACGACCAGCCACACUGGAACUGAGACACGGUCCAG